CAGUCGCCACGGGAAUGCGAAGGGGGCUAGCGUUGUUCGGAUUUACUGGGCGUAAAGGGCGCGUAGGCGGACUGAUAAGUCAGGGGUGAAAUCCCAAGGCUCAACCUUGGAACUGCCUUUGAUACUGUUUGUCUUGAGUUCGAGAGAGGUAAGUGGAACUGCGAGUGUAGAGGUGAAAUUCGUAGAUAUUCGCAAGAACACCAGUGGCGAAGGCGGCUUACUGGCUCGAAACUGACGCUGAGGCGCGAAAGCGUGGGGAGCAAACAGGAUUAGAGACCCCAGUAGUCCCUGUCUCUUAUAC
RNAcentral lists this ribosomal RNA (301 nucleotides) under uncultured bacterium. RNAcentral's name for it is "partial 16S ribosomal RNA". It matches the Rfam family "Bacterial small subunit ribosomal RNA", at positions 509 to 807 of the family's 1533-position model. The record is from RNAcentral.